UUAUUCUUUCUAAGAUAUUCCCAAAUCAAACACUCACUAGUACACAACACUACACUGUACAAUUUUUUGGAUUAAACAGAGAUGCAAAACAAACAAUGAUGUUACUGAGUUCACCUCCCAUCCUUUCCCAUUUCCCGCCAAACAAUCCAAUUCGCUUCAGAGUUUCAACUAUCAUCAAAUCCCUUUCUUCUAAAGCUGCCAUCGAUGGAAGAACAAGUUAUGUAGGAGUGAGACUGGAGGAGAAAGUCGAGGUAAUUGACGCCGUCAAAAUUAGGUUGGACGCUUGGAUUUCAUCCAAAAUUGAAGGAAUUAGCAGAGCUAGGGUUCAGUCUAGCAUUCGCGCUGGUCUUGUCUCCGUUAAUGGCCGCAUUGUUGAUAAGGUAUCAUAUGGUGUUAAAACGGGAGAUGAGGUAAACUGCACUAUAGCAAAAUUGGAACCCUUGAGAGCUGAUGCCGAGAAGAUACCUUUGGACAUUACAUAUGAGGAUGAUCAUGUUUUGGUUGUGAAUAAACCUCCACAUAUGGUUGUCCAUCCCGCACCUGGAAAUGCAAGCGGAACUCUUGUUAACGCAGUUUUGAACCAUUGUAGUCUCCCCAAUGUUGCAACAACAGGUGAAGAAUGGUUUUCUGAGGAAGAUGAUGUAUCUGGGGAUGUAGAUGUACGUCUGACCAAUCAAUUCAUUGGUGAAGAGGCAACUUCCUGCUCCAUUCGCCCUGGUAUAGUGCACCGGCUAGACAAAGGCACUAGUGGAUUGCUGGUGGUUGCUAAGGAUGAACACUCCCAUGCUCACCUGGCAGAGCAAUUUAAGGCCCAUACAGUAACUAGAGUCUACUUGAGUGUCACUUCUGGGGUGCCGACCUCACCUUCUGGUCGUGUUGAGGUUCCAAUUGGUCGUGAUUUGAAUAACAGAAUUCGGAUGACUGCUGUUACUGGACGUAAUUAUUCUGGAUCUUCAAGGCAUGCUGCCAGUAGGUACAAAGUCCUGGAAGUACUAGCCAAUGGUGGAGCAGCGUUGGUCGAAUGGAGACUAGAAACUGGACGCACACAUCAGAUCCGGGUGCAUGCGAAGUACAUGAGUAUUCCAUUAAUGGGAGAUGAAUUGUAUGGAGGGACCAAGGACAAAGCCUUGUCAGUGCUUCGACCCAGAACACCAUCCGUUUGUCAUUUUCAACUCAAUGAUCUGCUUUCCAAUAUAGAAAGGCCUUGCCUCCAUGCUAUGGUUCUUGGGUUUGAGCACCCACGGACUGGUAAGUACAUGCAUUUCUCAUGCCCUCCACCUGUUGAUUUUGCUGAAGUAUUGAGUCAGCUACGUCAUAUUUCAAGAUUGGAAGGUGCCUGAAAUUCAAAUCAGUUGCAUAGGUCAGAUACUAGUAGGUGCUGAUACCUUAUGCUUAACUGUUCUUACAAAGGACAAGCAAGAGCUCACCGAAUGUUAGGACCAGCACAGAAUCAUUUAUGUUGGCAAUCAUACCAAGUGUAUAUGCAUGAUCAAGUAUAAUGUGACUGAACUAUAUGCUCGGUGAAUUGGCAUGUAUUUGGAUCCUGCAUAAUCAAAUUUUGCUGCAGUUCGCAUUCAAUUUCAGCUGUUUUUGUUGAUAAAUGGUCGACAAAUUGAUUAAACUUGCGGACAAUCUGAAAAUGUACAGAUCAUGCAAACAUUUCUAAAUUGGCUGGUGGGAAUAGCAUCAGCUGCCGAAAAGUAGUAUCCGGAAAGAAUAUGGCAUUGGCAUUUGCAUUUGUUGUCAGCCACAUUUGUUGUCAUGCUUUUGGUUCCCAAAUCAGCUUGUAUUAAUUAAAUUAAUGUCGGGCUCGGGCAUUUGAGUUUAAUAAUUUUUAUUUUGAUAAUGUGGUCAUUGUACAUCUAUGCUUCACCGGAAAUUUAAAGAAAAAAGCUAUAUCGUUUUGUGGUCAUUUAA
RNA transcript from Amaranthus tricolor (Joseph's coat), 1917 nucleotides. It is a transcript of the gene named RNA pseudouridine synthase 2, chloroplastic, with no coding region annotated. The record is from RefSeq and is a predicted model, not a curated record. The transcript is spliced from 8 exons. NCBI's taxonomy places the organism in Eukaryota, Viridiplantae, Streptophyta, Magnoliopsida, Caryophyllales, Amaranthaceae.